AUGAGGCUCCCUGCUCAGCUCCUGGGGCUGCUGAUGCUUUGCAUCCCUGGAUCCCAUGGGGAUAUUGUGAUGUCACAGACUCCACUGUUACUGCCUGUCACCCCUGGAGAGCCAGCCUCCAUCUCCUGCAAGUCCAGUCAGAGCCUCUUAUGUAAUAGUGAUGGAAAUGCCUAUUUGAAUUGGUUUCUGGAAAAACCAAACCAGUCUCUGAAGCUCCUGAUCUAUGUGGUAUCCAAUUGGGUCUCUGGGGUCCUAGACAGGUUGAGUGGAAGUGGGUCUGGAACAGAUUUUACGCUUAAAAUAGGCAGGGUGAAGGCUGAGGAAGCUAGAGUUUAUCAUUGCCAGAGAAACAAGGAUGCAGUCUAUGGUUCUCGUGUGUGUAGUCAAGACUCCUUGAGAUGCAGCUUCUAA
Molecule: non-coding RNA, 411 nt
Organism: Fukomys damarensis (Damara mole-rat)
Lineage: Eukaryota; Metazoa; Chordata; Mammalia; Rodentia; Bathyergidae
Source: the annotation of a RefSeq genome assembly